Long non-coding RNA from Oxyura jamaicensis (ruddy duck), 489 nucleotides. RefSeq lists it as uncharacterized. NCBI's taxonomy places the organism in Eukaryota, Metazoa, Chordata, Aves, Anseriformes, Anatidae. The transcript is spliced from 4 exons. The record is from RefSeq and is a predicted model, not a curated record.
GGAAGUGCUUCCUUACUUCCAGCAUAUGGUGUUGCUGUUACGAUCCUUGUCAAGGAGGUAGCAAGUAUUUACCUGGCCGUUUGGUUGGCUUUAGCCUGCAGAGAAAUUUUAACCUCAAAACUGAAUCAUGAGAAGGAUUUGUCAGCAUAGCAUUUGCUAUGCAAAAUUUACAUGCAGCUGCUUUGAACUAAAUUCCUGGCAGAAGUGAAAGGAUUUUGAGGCUUCCAAAUCUUAGCUGACUUCUGUUUUGUGCAGACAGAAAUCCAUCUGAUACGUACUUCUCUAAAGAUCCCUCCUAGCCAUAUUUUACUACCUCAUGAUGAGAGACCAGUGAUGUCUACCUGCUGUACAACUGUUCUGUGAGGUGCCAAAAGGCUCCCUGCACAAGUACACAGAGUAUCCUGGACCUUUGGGAGAUCACAACCUUGCCUUGGUUUUUGUGUGGUUGCACUGCCUUAGUCUGGAUCCCUCCACUGAAGGUGCUUAAAG